RNAcentral lists this ribosomal RNA (542 nucleotides) under uncultured bacterium. RNAcentral's name for it is "bacterial SSU rRNA". It matches the Rfam family "Bacterial small subunit ribosomal RNA", at positions 356 to 896 of the family's 1533-position model. The record is from RNAcentral.
GAGGAAUAUUGGUCAAUGGGCGAGAGCCUGAACCAGCCAAGUAGCGUGCAGGAAGACGGCCCUAUGGGUUGUAAACUGCUUUUGUAUGGGGAUAAAGUCAAUCACGUGUGAUUGUUUGCAGGUACCAUACGAAUAAGGACCGGCUAAUUCCGUGCCAGCAGCCGCGGUAAUACGGAAGGUCCGGGCGUUAUCCGGAUUUAUUGGGUUUAAAGGGAGCGUAGGCUGGAGAUUAAGUGUGUUGUGAAAUGUAGACGCUCAACGUCUGACUUGCAGCGCAUACUGGUUUCCUUGAGUACGCACAACGUUGGCGGAAUUCGUCGUGUAGCGGUGAAAUGCUUAGAUAUGACGAAGAACUCCGAUUGCGAAGGCAGCUUACGGGAGCACAACUGACGCUGAAGCUCGAAGGUGCGGGUAUCAAACAGGAUUAGAUACCCUGGUAGUCCGCACAGUAAACGAUGGAUGCCCGUUGUUAGUUCACUUAAGAAUUAGCGACCAAGCGAAAGCAUUAAGCAUCCCACCUGGGGAGUACGCCGGCAACGGUG